GAUGAACGCUGGCGGCGUGCCUAAUACAUGCAAGUCGAGCGAACAGACGAGGAGCUUGCUCCUCUGACGUUAGCGGCGGAAGGGUGAGUAACACGUGGAUAACCUACCUAUAAGACUGGGAUAACUUCGGGAAACCGGAGCUAAUACCGGAUAAUAUAUUGAACCGCAUGGUUCAAUAGUGAAAGACGGUUUUGCUGUCCCUUAUAGAUGGAUCCGCGCCGCAUUAGCUAGUUGGUAAGGUAACGGCUUACCAAGGCAACGAUGCGUAGCCGACCUGGGAGGGUGAUCGGCCACACUGGAACUGGGCCACGGUCCAGACUCCUACGGGAGGCAGCAAUAGGGAAUCUUCCGCGAUGGGCGAAAGCCUGACGGAGCAACGCCGCGUGAGUGAUGAAGGUCUUCGGAUCGUAAAACUCUGUUAUUAGGGAAGAACAAAUGUGUAAGUAACUAUGCACGUCUUGACGGUACCUAAUCAGAAAGCCACGGCUAACUACGUG
Molecule: ribosomal RNA, 497 nt
Filed under: uncultured bacterium
Lineage: Bacteria
Description: partial 16S ribosomal RNA
Rfam family: Bacterial small subunit ribosomal RNA
Source: RNAcentral